This 61-nucleotide transfer RNA is filed under the name Mecomma ambulans. RNAcentral's name for it is "tRNA-Gly". The record is from RNAcentral. Lineage: Eukaryota; Metazoa; Arthropoda; Insecta; Hemiptera; Miridae.
ACUUUUUUAGUAUAUUUAUUAUAUUUGACUUCCAAUCAAAAGAUCUUUUCAAGAAAAAGUA